RNAcentral lists this long non-coding RNA (1309 nucleotides) under Fukomys damarensis (Damara mole-rat). RNAcentral describes it as "lncRNA (ENSFDAG00000023260.1)". Lineage: Eukaryota; Metazoa; Chordata; Mammalia; Rodentia; Bathyergidae. The record is from RNAcentral.
AUGAACGCAGCCAGGUGGGGCACGGCUGUCCUCCCAGCUGUUGGGAGGCCGAGGCAGGAGGAUCGCUUCGAGUCCAGCGAGCUCUUGCACGCAUGUUGGAACGAGAUCAGGCUAUGCGGAAGGUGGUGUGGCCCUGGAGGGGGAGCCUGGGAGGUUUGGGCCCGCAGUGGGAUGGGGGGCAGAACACAGGUCCUCCAAAGAAUGACGGAGGCCACCAGGAGAGCUUGGAGAAGACAAAGCCAGGGAACCACAGGCCACUCGGGAGCACAGGCCGUACCUGGGGAACCUUGCCAAUCUGUCCCCAACUUCGCCCCAGCGGGACGGGAAGAACCUGCAGUCCGCUGCCCCCGCAGCAACCGGCCCAGCAGGAGGGGCCCAGGCGCCUCCUUCCCCAGCGCAACCUACGGAAUCCGGCAGGAAUUCGGGCCUCCCAGAUGUAAGAAAACAAACAAAGGAAAGAUUGUCAGAGCCGGGCCGCCGCUGCCCCGCGCUCCCAGCCGGGCUGGGUCCCGGGUGGUCAGGGCCCCGGUGAGAACUUGGUGUCCCGGGUGGGGGCCCGGCGCGCGUGGGCAGGGAGGGACGGGGCGCCUCUUCCAAGCAGUCACCCGGCCUGGCUCGGCUUCCCCGGGUCCAGGAAUUAUUUAUUCGAGAGGCAAGGAUGCCGGCCACAAAAGCGGAGGACACCGGAGAGCAGCAGCCAGCAUGCCGCCUCCGCCUCCCUGUCCGGUCUCUCCCCUACGCCCCUCUCAGAACUCGGAGCCUGCCGUCAGCCCCAGGGAAUGGUGACGAUGCCCAGCUUUUCUGAUGUUUCCUGCAACCAAGGACACACUGUAUUGUGCUGAGCACCCAGCCUCCUGGAGACCCAGCCAGACGUACCUGACCCAGAUGCCCAACUUAAGAAGGCACAGGAGUGGAAAGAUAAAUAUCCAUCGGCACUCCAUGGCCAAUCCUGUGGAGUGUUCUCACCUCACCUUAGUCACUCUCUCACCACUGGGACACACUAUCUGACACUCAUUGCUUAAAGGAGGACAGGUUUAUUGUGGCUCACAGUUUCGAGCCCUGGUUGAUUGGCUCCAAGGUAGGACAACACAACUGAGGGGCCCAGCGGAAGAGAGCUGCUCACCUCAUGGUGCACAGGAAACUGAGUGAAGGGAAGCACUGGGGAGGAAGGCAAACCCUUUCAGGCCACGCCCCCAAGACCCGCCCCUUCCGGCCAGGCCCAGAGUCCUAACAGUGAAUCUAGCUCGGGUCACGCAAUCACCUUGGGUCAUGCAAUCACCUUGCGGAGGUCUGGCCUAUGGACCUGAGG